AUUGACAGAGUUUGAUCCUGGCUCAGAGCGAACGCUGGCGGCAGGCUUAACACAUGCAAGUCGAACGGGCGUAGCAAUCCGUCAGUGGCAGACGGGUGAGUAACGCGUGGGAACGUACCUUUUGGUUCGGAACAACUGAGGGAAACUUCAGCUAAUACCGGAUAAGCCCUUACGGGGAAAGAUUUAUCGCCGAAAGAUCGGCCCGCGUCUGAUUAGCUAGUUGGUGAGGUAAUGGCCCACCAAGGCGACGAUCAGUAGCUGGUCUGAGAGGAUGAUCAGCCACAUUGGGACUGAGACACGGCCCAAACUCCUACGGGAGGCAGCAGUGGGGAAUAUUGGACAAUGGGCGCAAGCCUGAUCCAGCCAUGCCGCGUGAGUGAUGAAGGCCCUAGGGUUGUAAAGCUCUUUUGUGCGGGAAGAUAAUGACGGUACCGCAAGAAUAAGCCCCGGCUAACUUCGUGCCAGCAGCCGCGGUAAUACGAAGGGGGCUAGCGUU
This 496-nucleotide ribosomal RNA is filed under the name Rhodopseudomonas sp. JA779. Its description in RNAcentral is "bacterial SSU rRNA". It matches the Rfam family "Bacterial small subunit ribosomal RNA", at positions 1 to 542 of the family's 1533-position model. Lineage: Bacteria; Pseudomonadati; Pseudomonadota; Alphaproteobacteria; Hyphomicrobiales; Nitrobacteraceae. The record is from RNAcentral.